AGCGAACGCUGGCGGCAUGCUUAACACAUGCAAGUCGCACGAAGGUUUCGGCCUUAGUGGCGGACGGGUGAGUAACGCGUAGGAAUCUAUCCAUGGGUGGGGGAUAACACUGGGAAACUGGUGCUAAUACCGCAUGAUACCUGAGGGUCAAAGGCGCAAGUCGCCUGUGGAGGAGCCUGCGUUCGAUUAGCUAGUUGGUGGGGUAAAGGCCUACCAAGGCGAUGAUCGAUGGCUGGUUUGAGAGGAUGAUCAGCCACACUGGGACUGAGACACGGCUCAGACGCGUACGGGAGGCAGCAGUGGGGAAUAUUGGACAAUGGGGGCAACCCUGAUCAAGCAAUGCCGCGUGUGUGAAGAAGGUCUUCGGAUUGUAAAGCACUUUCGACGGGGACGAUGAUGACGGUACCCGUAGAAGAAGCCCCGGCUAACUUCGUGCCAGCCGCCGCGGUAA
Molecule: ribosomal RNA, 451 nt
Filed under: uncultured bacterium
Lineage: Bacteria
Description: partial 16S ribosomal RNA
Rfam family: Bacterial small subunit ribosomal RNA
Source: RNAcentral